Molecule: small RNA, 1578 nt
Filed under: Pan troglodytes (chimpanzee)
Lineage: Eukaryota; Metazoa; Chordata; Mammalia; Primates; Hominidae
Description: processed transcript
Source: RNAcentral
CGCAGGGCGCGGGCUCCCGCGCCGCCGCUGCGUCCUCCCCGGCCGCGGGCGAGCCGCUGCAGAGGGAGCGUCGCGCCGGGGCGGAGUGCGGGCUCGCGCGGCAAGUGCGCGCCGAGGUCACGAAAUGGAUUCGAGUGAACCGGAGACCCCGAAAACGGAAGCGCAGGGAGAAGGAAGAGGUGUUUGAAAAGUUUUGAUUUGAAGUUCCUUUAAAGGCUGUUGGAGCUUUUGCAAAUACCCAGCUAAUGAAAGGCACUUAAGAUUGGGCCCAUCUGCAUCAUCACAUUGAAGUUUUCUGUCUAAAGGAAGGUUCCAGCUACCUGUUAUCCUUUUGCUAAACACAGUUGCAGUGUUGCAGUGUAUUUCAUGACAAAAGUGCACUCUAGUUUUCUGUGAAAUGAUUAUUUUCUCUGAAAUGAUUCUUGGUCAUGUUGAGCUUCUAAAUGUUAAAGAGAACAUAGUGCUUUUGACCUGUGGAAAUCUCAUCUUGGUACCAUGGUGCUGCACAGACCAUCAGGAAGAACUGAAAAGUUCAGGCAACUUGAGAAAAUAAAGUCACCACCAGCAAGAAGCUGUCUAAAAUAACUGGAAGAUUAUAACCCAAGCACGUGGAGGAGUGUGCUAGUGAGUAGAAUGUUAUGAAAGCUACUAGAGGUCCUCCAUAGAUGCAUGUGCUAGUCCUAAGGAGAAGGAAGAGGAGAAGGAUUGCCACGGAGGAACACCUGAAGUUUCAGUUGAGCACUUUGUUUGGAAAGUUGUCCAAGGCUGGAGUUGUGAGAGCUGGGAAAGACCUCACAAGCUUCUCUAAUUCAAGUCCUUGUUUCACAUAUGAGAAUGCAGAGGCCCUGAGAAGUUGAUUCCCAGGCCUGCAUGCUGGCCUGGAACUAGAGCCUGGGUCUCCUCUUGCUUUUUCCAGCUGUCUGCCCAGGUAGCUCCCCAAGGCAGGCGUGGAGGCAGAGCUGCUUUGGGUUCCAGGGGGCAGGUUUGGGCUGGGGCCUGCUGUGUGACCCCAGUCUCCCAUCUUGGAUUGAAGCUACAUCGCUGUGUGCAUCUAACUCUUGAUUCACGGUCUGACCGACGCCUUGGUUUCUGGAGAACUGCCCUCGUUUAUGGAAGAGUCACUGUCAUCAGGAGCCAUCCCAGGGAGAGGCUCAGUGGGAAGUGUAAAGGUGGAGCAAGCAAACCGGCUCCAGAAGAGAAGGCGAAGAAGGACUGUUUCUGUUUAGAUUUGCUUAACCUCAUUUUCACUUUCUUGGGAACCCCUGAUGGAGUUCAAGGUCAUAGAAGAGAAGAAGUCAGACACUGCUACAGGCCUCUUGCUCUUGGUUCAGAUUAUUCAAUGGGAGGGGAGAAGAGAGUAGUCGCAAGUGAUUGUUGUAGAUUUUGUCUCAGCUUUUUUUUUCUUCUUUGUAUCAAACCUGUUUUGAGAUCAUACAGUGUUACAGAGAAAGAGAGGAGGCAUAUUAUAAACAUGUGUGGACUUCAGUGUUAUUCCUUCUCUUCAAAAUGAUGUUCCAGGUGUCUAGAGGGUGAGGUAUGUCAUUUACAUGAAGGUUAAGAAUAAAACAGAAAGUGCCU